GCUUCUCCGCAAGCUUUUUCUAGUCUAACUGGACCACCGUGAGAUAUGCAAUUAUCAAAGAGAUUCAGGAUUUUUUCACAACCAAUAUCCUGCCUAGUUCUAUCAAUGAGACACACAUAAGGCUAAUCCCGAAAAUCUUAUCCCCAAAGGGAGUUGUUGACUACAGACCCAUAGCCCUUUGUAAUGUCUAGUACAAAAUCAUCUCCAAAAUUAUCUCCCUGCGGCUAAAGCCAGUACUCGAAGAGAUUAUAUCUGAAAACCAGUCAGUAUUUAUACUGGGGAGAGCUAUCUCUGAUAAUGUCUUAAUCACACAUGAAAUGCUGCAUUACCUAAAGACUUCAGAGGCAGAAAAGAACUAUUCGAUGGCAGUCAAAACAGACAUUAGUAAAGCCUACGAUCGUCUAGAAUGAACUUUCCUAGAGACGGUUCUACUCAGAAUGGGCUUUCACAACAGAUUUGUCAGCUAGAUCAUGCAGUGCAUAAGUACAGUCAUGUAUUCUUUUCUAAUCAACGACGAAGUUACAGGCUUUGUGAAACCUUACCUUGGAAUCAGACAAGGUGACCCCAUCUCGCCGUAUGUCUUCAUCAUCUGUGGAGAAGUCCUCUCUGGUUUAUGCAAGGAGGCUCAACGUGAUGGCUCAAUGAUUGGUAUCAGAGUGGCAACAAAAUGCCCACACAUCAACCAUUUGCUAUUUGCUGAUGAUACUAUGUUCUUCGUCCGCUCCAACCAGCAAAGCUGCCUUGCUCUCAAAGAAAUCCUAGCAAAAUACGAGAAAGCCUUAGGACAAAUGAUAAACCCUGAUAAAUCUUCAAUAUCUUUCUUAGCAAGAACAAGCAUAGAGGACAUAAUCUGCGUUAAACAAGUUCUUGGUAUUGAAAAAGAAGGAGGAGUUGAAAAGUAUCUAGGCUUACCUGAACUGUUUGGCAGGAAGAAAAGAGAUCUGUUUGCGUCUAUUGUCGAUCGCAUCCAACAGAGGGUUGUAUGUUACUCCUCUCGUCAACUCUCCCCAACAGGCAAACU
RNAcentral lists this long non-coding RNA (1021 nucleotides) under Brassica napus (rape). RNAcentral describes it as "long non-coding RNA (BNAP_LNC009583)". Lineage: Eukaryota; Viridiplantae; Streptophyta; Magnoliopsida; Brassicales; Brassicaceae. The record is from RNAcentral.